This 350-nucleotide long non-coding RNA is filed under the name Mytilus galloprovincialis (Mediterranean mussel). Lineage: Eukaryota; Metazoa; Mollusca; Bivalvia; Mytilida; Mytilidae. The record is from RNAcentral.
AAAACAUAUUUUGAUAUAGGCUUGGCCUUUAUAAAUUCUAUCUAUAAAUAAAUGAUAUUCAUCAUUUUGUGAGUCGUGGGAGGCAAUCCUCUAAUCUAUGAACAAGGUGGUUAGAUGAUAUAUACUUUAUAAAUUUUAUUUAGUUUUAUAGUGGACCUUUGGCCAAUGCACUAGAAAAUAACACAAUAUAUGCUAUUAUCUAAAAUAAAAAGGUAACACUCCUAGGAAAAAGCAAAUGAUUUAUAGUGAGGUUGUCUGAAUCACUGUGACCAAAAUCAGUUAUCUUUAUAACUUAUACAAGAGUAAACAACAUUAAUUCAUUUCAGUUGAGCUAUUAAGAGAAUACCACC